RNAcentral lists this ribosomal RNA (253 nucleotides) under uncultured bacterium. Its description in RNAcentral is "partial 16S ribosomal RNA". It matches the Rfam family "Bacterial small subunit ribosomal RNA", at positions 524 to 776 of the family's 1533-position model. The record is from RNAcentral.
UACGAAGGGGGCGAGCGUUGUUCGGAUUUACUGGGCGUAAAGGGCGCGCAGGCGGCCAUUUUUGUCAGGCGUGAAAGCCCCGGGCUCAACCUGGGAACGGCGCCUGGGACGGGAUGGCUGGAGACCGGGAGAGGAGAGUGGAAUUCCCAGUGUAGAGGUGAAAUUCGUAGAUAUUGGGAAGAACACCGGUGGCGAAGGCGGCUCUCUGGACCGAUACUGACGCUGAGGAGCGAAAGCGUGGGGAGCGAACAGG